UAGCUUUAUAAUUUAUAUAAAAUAAUUACCUUGAAAGUAAUAAAAGGGCCCUGACCCGAGAGCU
This 64-nucleotide transfer RNA is filed under the name Russelliana sp. RNAcentral's name for it is "tRNA-Ser". The record is from RNAcentral. Lineage: Eukaryota; Metazoa; Arthropoda; Insecta; Hemiptera; Psyllidae.